Molecule: ribosomal RNA, 501 nt
Filed under: uncultured bacterium
Lineage: Bacteria
Description: partial 16S ribosomal RNA
Rfam family: Bacterial small subunit ribosomal RNA
Source: RNAcentral
AUUGAACGCUGGCGGCAUGCCUUACACAUGCAAGUCGAACGGCAGCACGGGUGCUUGCACCUGGUGGCGAGUGGCGAACGGGUGAGUAAUACAUCGGAACGUACCUUAUCGUGGGGGAUAACGCAGCGAAAGCUGUGCUAAUACCGCAUACGCCCUGAGGGGGAAAGCGGGGGAUCGCAAGACCUCGCGCGAUUAGAGCGGCCGAUGCCUGAUUAGCUUGUUGGUGGGGUAAAAGCCCACCAAGGGGAAGAUCAGUAGCUGGUCUGAGAGGACGAGCAGCCACACUGGGACUGAGACACGGCCCAGACUCCUACGGGAGGAAGAAGUGGGGAAUUUUGGACAAUGGGGGCAACCCGGAUCCAGCAAUGCCGCGUGAGUGAAGAAGGCCUUCGGGUUGUAAAGCUCUUUUGUCAGGGAAGAAACACCGGCUCUAACACAGUCCGGGAAUGACGGUACCUGAAGAAUAAGCACCGGCUAACUACGUGCCAGCAGCCGCAGUAA